UACAUCCUUAUAAUUUUCCUUAUUAUGACAAGUUAUAUAAUGAAAUAUAUAAUCAUAUGCAAAAAUUAAAAAGCGACAACAGGAAUGAUAAUUCCACAAUGAAUGAUGACAGGGAUACCAAUUGCAGUAAGAAUGGAACUGAAACGAAAACUGGAACAAUCACAAAUACGGGUAGCAUUAAAAAUAGCAGCAUCGACUUCAACUUGGUUUAUAAGUUAGUAGAAAAGCUACCAGACGAAUACUAUGCAUAUGUAGACGUACUCAUAAAAGAAAUAUUAAAAAUAAGAGAUUUAAUAUAUAGAAAUAGUUAUCUUAGAUAUAUCUUUUAUUAUAUAUAUAAAAAUAGUAACAAUAAUGUAUCUUAUAUUAUUAAUCAUGUAUUCACAACAGAAAUAAGAAAAAUAAUGUUAUACAAAAUGCAAAUGAAAAUGCGAUAUAACCUAUUCAUUUCACGUUUCAUGGAAAGUAACUUUAACAAUAACAAUAGUAACAACAACAGGAACAACAACACUAACAACAACUUUAACAACAACUUUAACAACAGCAUUAACAACAACGAAAUAAGUAAUAACAACCAGAACAAUAACAGAAACAAUAAAAAAAAUAGGAACAACAACAAUAGUAACAAUAAACGUAAAAAAUGCCAUAAUAAUAAUUUGUGUCAGAAAAAUGUUAAUGAACUUAACUUCGUACAGGCAAAACAUAAAUUAUCUAAUUUGCUGUAUUUUAAAUAUAAUAAAUAUUAUGAAGAACUCACAAAUGAGAAUGAAAAUAUAAAAAAACUGAAACGUACAGUUUUAAAUGUUGAGGUAGAUAAUUUUUCUAUCAUUAAAAAAAGAGUAUCAAUAUAUAGUGAUUAUUUGAGUAAAAUGAAAAAAAAAUUGUUUACUGAAAAUGAAACCUUUGUGGAAACAGAAAUGCUUACGCAAACGAACGCCAAUAUAGAGAAAAACGAGGUAAAACAUGAACAAAAACAAGGAUACCAACAGCAACAGUACAAAUCAGAUAAGCUAAAUUUUAAUGUGCCUUACAGUUAUAUCCAAUUUUUAUUUAAUAAAAACGAAGUCAUGUUUAUAAUAGGUGAAAAAGGAAACUCAAGAAAAUAUAAAGCAGCAUAUAUUAUUAAUAAUAAUAAUACAGAUGAAAAUGAAAACUUAUUAAUUAUAACAUCAAUAGUAAACACACAUAAAUGGAAAAGUUUAUUUCCUACUUAUAAACAUGUUACAGUAUACAACAAUGAAGAACGUUUAUUACAGAAUAAAAUACAAAAUGUGCAAUCGAAUUUAAUUAUAUGUAU
Molecule: long non-coding RNA, 1297 nt
Filed under: Piliocolobus tephrosceles (Ugandan red Colobus)
Lineage: Eukaryota; Metazoa; Chordata; Mammalia; Primates; Cercopithecidae
Description: lncRNA (ENSPTEG00000005198.1)
Source: RNAcentral